GUCUCCGUAGCUUAGUCGGUUUAACACCCGACUAUGGUGCGGUAGAACUCGGGUUCGAGCCCCGCUAAAGGCA
Non-coding RNA from Henosepilachna vigintioctopunctata, 73 nucleotides. The record is from the annotation of a GenBank genome assembly. NCBI's taxonomy places the organism in Eukaryota, Metazoa, Arthropoda, Insecta, Coleoptera, Coccinellidae.